GGAGGAGAGAGUUAAGCUAACGGGCCCUGGGCCUGCUCCGGCCGGGGGCCGCACCCCCCCAAGUCCCCCGCCCCCUGGCCUCCCUCCAGCCUGGGCUCCAGUUACAGUGCCUGGGGAGGAGAGGGGAGGGAAAGGGAGGGGAAGAGAAGGAGGAGGAGGAGGAGGGGGCGGUGCAUCCAGCCCAGGGGGUCUUCGGCAGAGCCUUCGGGACCCCUGAGCGCAGACAGCCUCGGAUCGAAUACGGGUCUGUUGGGAACCGGGGAGCCCGAUGAAGAAGAGGGCACUUUCCGCAGUUCCAUCCGCCGCCUCUCCAGCAGAAGGCGUUAGGAGCCUGAGAUGAAGUCGCCGAGGCUGACCAGGUUUCCCAGGACUCUGCCCACGGUCCCACCCCCACGGUGUCCCUAGCUCCUCCAAACCUGUAAUAAAGGCCAGUCUUCUUCCGCGCGCAGUCCGUGUCUCUGUCCCACAGCCGGUCCGGCCGCCCGAGGCCCCGAAAGGCUGACGCUCCCUCUCUCCCCCCACUAGGAGGCGCCCCCGCCCACGGGCUCCGCAGACACUCGAGGCGGGGAUUGGGCAUGCGCCCCCCCCCCCCCCCCCCCCCCCACGGAGCCCCCAUUGGCUGCAGUGUCCGCCUCCGCCCUUUCCACCGCCCCCAACCCGGAGGUCCCUCUCCAGUCCCCCCCCUUCCCGGUCUGACCCCCCUCCCCCAGUCAGAUCUGGGCUCCCUCUGCAGCUGCUGCCUCUGCCUUCCGCGCCCCCGGCCCAGCCAUGGUGACCCCCGAGCCCAUCACACAGGGUGAGAGGGAGCGAGGCUCUACCAAGCCCGCAGCUACAGGGGACCCCAGCCGGGAGGAUGGAGGAAGGGGGGACCCCGUCAAGGGGAAGAAGGGACGUGGACUCCUGCCUGAUCUAGUGGCUAGUGGGGAGCAGGGAAGAGGAAGGGGGCCCCGUUAUGAAACAGCUGAAGAAGCAGGAAUCCCAUUCUCGGAGGUCUGGGGAGGGCACCUGGGGAAGUCUAGAGGAGGAGGAGAGUGAAGGGGACCCCAACUGGGGGCUGGGGGGAAGGGGACCCCGUUGGGCACGGAGAUAGAGGGGUAGGGGAACUCUGGUCUGAGGGGAUGGAGAGAGCCAGGACCCUGAUCUGGGUCCUGGUGCUGGAGGGAGACGGAACCUGGGCUGGAGGGACUGAGGAUCGAACCUGCCUUUGGAGGAUGACAGGUAAAAGACUCCUCCCGGGGCUGAGAGGGAGCCCUCAAGGAAGUGGGCCAGGGGAGAGCUUCUGGCAUGCGGGGAGAUCUUCCCCGGGAGGGGGGAGGCAGGGAAAGGGGAUGUCACUGGCCCUGGAUCUUGUAAACUGGAUAAAUGUUCGCUGAAUGAGUGAGUGACUGAUCUGAGCCGUAGCUAUGGCAACUAGAUGGUCCAGCCCCUGGGGAAGUGCAGCGGGAAGGUGUUUUCUGCGAGGAGGGCCCGAGAUGCGCUAGGGCAUGUCCGGCGGAAGUGUGAUUGUUUAUCGGGGUGCGGGGGGAGACCUCCGGGCUUGCACAUAGGCAGGGGCCGGACCUGAGGGAGAACAUCCGUCCCUGUGGAUGGCCGCGUUUCUCGGGCUCUCCAGGGUUCUUGACCCGGGGCGAGGGUGGGUGGGGCCGGGGAGGGAGGGGGAGGGAGGUGGGAUGAGGUAUUACAGUUGGUCAUUUCCACAGACUAAAGGACCUCUGUUGGGCAAAUACACCUUCGAGACUGGGGGGGGAGGGGAGCCCGAGCAGAGGGAGGGGGAGCGACAGCCAGAUGCGGGGAAAGAGCGAGGCCGGGGCGGGGGGGGGGGAGGGGCAGGCUGCGGGGAUUGCGUGCCUGCAGGGGCGGUAAGCCGCAGUGACCCCACCCAGGGAGGGGAGGGGAGGGACCGGAGGGGAACCCUCCCUCUGCUGGCCUUGGGGGUGGGGAGGGCCCUUCCCCGGGUGUGUCCCCUUGGUCACCUGGGGUCGCAGUGUUUGAAUACGGGCCCUCUCGCUGCCUCUCAAGUAUAUGGUGUCAGCCUCACCAUCCCCCACCCCCCGCAACCCGCAGCUUUCCCGUCCCCGCGGAGACCCAAGUUGGCCGCAGCCUCCCGGACCUGGGAUGCUCGGAUGCUCUCGGUGGAGGGGCGGGGCGGGGCGAGGAGAGCCGGGGGAGAAAGCCCUCGCACCUUUUCUCCGCACAGGAAAAGGGGAGGAUGUGGGGAGAGGGGCAGUUAAGGGUCUUGGGGGGGGGAGAGGCGGUGUUAUAGCUUCGGAGAGUGAAGUUGCACGGGAAGAGGCUUUGAGGCGGGAGGAGCCGGGGGAGAGGGGCUCUGGGGGGAGAAGGGGCUGCAGAGGAGCAGUGGGGGUUGAGGGAAGGAGCGAAGAGGAGUUUCUGGGGGGGGGGGUUAGGCUCUGUAGGGGAGAAGGUUCUGGGCCAGGAGGAGCCGGGGAGCUGUGGUGUGCGUGUGCUGGGGGUGGGGUGGGGGUUGGCGGGCAGGCGCAUCUUCUCCAGACAUCUGUCUGGCAGGAAGCCAGAGCCGGCGAUUUCCCGGAGAUGCUGCCGUGUUCCGAUCGAUGACCAAUGGGCCGACAAAGAGCUCCCCCCAACGGAUCCCAGGCCAGCCUCCUCUGAGGGGAAUCUCAGGGCUCGGGAGAUCCACGGGGACGGAGGAAGCCACAUGUUCUGUCUUGCAGUCACUGAGAAAAAACGCGGGUCUUCGAGAGGAAGGGCGCGGGAGGGGCAAAGGGGCCCAGCCAUUGAGGCUCUGUGGAGAGUCUGGGGGCUUUAGAGCCGGCGCUGACCGAUAGCCUUCCCCGCACUCCUUCCACCCGAGUCUGGAAAGGCAAAGGUUAGAGGCCUCCUAGCUUGGGGUAAGCCCAAUCGAAGAUUCUUGGGGUUGAAAAGAAUAAGGGGGUGCUUGACCACAUUGCCUCCUCCCCCCACGACCCUCCCCCUCUCCUUAUCCUCCCUUCCCCCAUCACACUCCCUCCUUUCAAGGUGCCCCAGUGCCCAAGCAACCCCCUUCCCUAGCUUCCCCGGGCCUGUGGAAUGGCCAUCCCUUCUUGCUCCACCCUGGGUGCAGCUCCCCCUGAGGGGCCCCUUCCUCCCACCCCCCUGUGUUUUGGGGGUGGGGCAUCAGGGAGGCGGGGGGAAAGAGACAGAGACAGAGACAGACAGACAGACACACACACACAGAGGGGGAGAGAGAGAAAGAGAGAGACAGAGACAGACAGGCACAGAGACAGACAGAUACAAAGAGAGACAGAGACAGACAGGCACAGAGAGAGACACACAGAGAGAGACAGAGAUACAGAGAUAGAGAUGCCUUCAGUACCAAAAAUUGAUCCUCAAGCCUGUAUCCUACACCUGGGAAUUUGAGAAAAUGAGCUCAUAAAACUUUUCAAAAACCUAUGGGUUCUUACCAAAUUUAAAUCUGAGGGCUCAAUGGACUUGGGAAAAGGUUCCUUUCCCAACUCAUGGGAAGCCCUCCCGACUCCUUGGGUUUUCUAAGGAUCCUGAGGAGGACAUGUGUCAGACCCCUCUCCCUCCGAGGUAGUAGAAGCUCAGGGAACCCUCAACUGAGGAAAGAGGCGGAAUUCCAAAACCAACAGUCAGAUCCAGGGAGCCACCUGGGGGCUUACAGGAGGAAACGAGUGUAGUGGUUAGGGUACCAGAGAUCUGAAGCAGAAAACUUGGGUUGGAAUCCUCCCUUACAAGACCCUGGGAAGUUCAAUGUUAAUAUCUGUUUUCUUUAUCUAUGAAAUGGGAAUAACUUGGCAAAUCCUAAAGCAUUAUAUGAAUGUGACUAGACAGAAGAUAAAGGUGGAAGCUGGAAAGACUUCCCAGAGAAGAGAUUUUAAACCGAGUCUAGAAAGGCGAAACAAAGGAAAUUAGGUAUAAGUGUGAGAAAGUGGGACAGAUUGACUGAAAACAUGCCUGCCAAUCAUUCAUGCUCUGAAAGAAAUCCUGAGGUAAUUAAUCAACCCCCAAGUAUUUAUUAAGCAUUUACUAUGUGGUAGGAACUUUGAUAGAUACUGGGGACACAAAGACAAAAAUGAACCAAUCCCUAUUUUUAAGGAAAUUGCAUUCUAUCAGGGAAGAGAAUUUGAUAGACAGAUACAUAGAUGAUAGGCAGAGAGAUAGAUAGAUACAUGGAUAUAUAGAUGGAUAGAUGGGUAGGUAGAUGGAUAGAUAGAUAGAGGGGUAGGUAGGUAGAUAGAAAAAUAAAUAAAUGGAUGGAUAGAUGAAUAAUUGGGUAGGUAGAUGAGUGGAUGGAUAGAAAGAUAGAUAGAUGACUGAAUUGAUAAAUGGGUAGGUAGGUACUUGGACGGAUGGAUGGAUGAAUGACAAACUGAGAUAGGUACUGAGAUAGAUAGGAAAAAA
Molecule: long non-coding RNA, 4380 nt
Filed under: Sarcophilus harrisii (Tasmanian devil)
Lineage: Eukaryota; Metazoa; Chordata; Mammalia; Dasyuromorphia; Dasyuridae
Description: lncRNA (ENSSHAG00000026865.1)
Source: RNAcentral